RNAcentral lists this long non-coding RNA (641 nucleotides) under Lathyrus oleraceus (garden pea). Its description in RNAcentral is "Pisum sativum (pea) long non-coding RNA (PSAT_LNC004814)". Lineage: Eukaryota; Viridiplantae; Streptophyta; Magnoliopsida; Fabales; Fabaceae. The record is from RNAcentral.
GUAAACAUCAUUCUUUUGGAUAGAUUGCGAGAUCGAAAAUAUAUUUUCUUCCGUGUUGUUAUUCUUCAAACACCAAUUUUAACAAAUCAUUUUUUUGUUCUUGCAAUUUGUCUUACAUAAUGGUGUUGGUGGUGGAGGUGCUAUUGUUGUUGCUGUUAUUGGUGUCGUUGUUGUUAUUGUUUUAUAGGUGUCAUUGUUGUUGUUUUUAUUGUUGUUAUUGUUGUUGUGUUUGUUGUUAGAGUCGUUGUUGUUGUUGUUAUCAAUGUUAUUGUUGUUGGUGUCAUUGUUGUUGUUGUUGGUGGUGGUGUUAUUGGUGUUGGUGGUGGUGGUGUCGUUGUUAUUUUUGGUGUCGUUGUUGUUGUUGUUGUUGUUCUUGUUCUUGUUGUCGUCGUCGUCGUCAUCGUCUUCGUCGUCGUCGUUGUUGUUAUUGUUGUAGUUGUUUUUGUUAUUGUUGUUUCCACCUAUUGUCAAUGUUGAAUGGUAAAUGAAUAUAUUGUUAUACUUUAGAAUAACUUCUCAAUAUUGUCAAUCAAAGAAAAUAUUUUAUAAUAUGUUACUUUCUUUGGUUCAAAACAAAGAGAAAUUUAUUCCUAAUCAUACUAUAAUGUUGUUUUUCACAAAAUAAUAUCUUGGAAAUUUUG